CCUACGGGAGGCAGCAGUGGGGAAUAUUGGACAAUGGGGGAAACCCUGAUCCAGCAAUGCCGCGUGGGUGAUGAAGGCCUUCGGGUUGUAAAGCCCUUUUGGCGGGGACGAUGAUGACGGUACCCGCAGAAUAAGCCCCGGCUAACUUCGUGCCAGCAGCCGCGGUAAUACGAAGGGGGCUAGCGUUGUUCGGAAUUACUGGGCGUAAAGGGCGCGUAGGCGGCUCUGUGCGUCGUGCGUGAAAGGCCUGGGCUCAACCCGGGAACGGCGCUCGAUACGACGGAGCUAGAGUGCAGGAGAGGAUGGUGGAAUUCCCAGUGUAGAGGUGAAAUUCGUAGAUAUUGGGAAGAACACCGGUGGCGAAGGCGGCCAUCUGGACUGCAACUGACGCUGAGGCGCGAAAGCGUGGGGAGCAAACAGGAUUAGAUACCCUGGUAGUCCACGCUGUAAACGAUGUGCGCUAGACGCUGGCGGACCUAGUUCGCCGGUGUCGCAGCUAACGCAUUAAGCGCACCGCCUGGGGAGUACGGCCGCAAGGUUAAAACUCAAAUGAAUUGACGG
This 561-nucleotide ribosomal RNA is filed under the name uncultured bacterium. RNAcentral's name for it is "bacterial SSU rRNA". It matches the Rfam family "Bacterial small subunit ribosomal RNA", at positions 338 to 916 of the family's 1533-position model. The record is from RNAcentral.